ACAGCCACUCCUCCUGUGCUCGGAAUGGAGACUGCGGGCCAGCUCCACAGGUGAACCAGUGAGAUCAUGCCACACUUUGCUAUCAGCCUGCACGCCCAGCGGUUCAGUUGGUGACAGUCACACUUCCCUGCAGCCCCAGGGUGCUUUGCCAUGGACCGUGUGGCUCAGCCCAUGCUUCACCACGGACUGGUGUGACUCGGCUCGUGGGGACCAUCUCGUACUGUGCACCUGACUGCUCAACUUCCUAGCUGUUCUUGUCAGCUUUCCUGCACGUACAGUGAUCUGUCCCCCGUUGGGUAGAGCACUUAGGAAGAGACACACUAUUCCUUUCACGGAAAAAGCCUGCAAUUAACCGGGGUUUGGGAAGAACACUCUGCCUCUGCUUCCACCCACGUUCUCAUUUAACAUAUUUUAUCAGAAUGAAAUGCCUUAAUGAGCACGGAACUGCAGCUAAUCCCAGCUGAACCUCUGCGUGUGCCAACUCUGCUGCCCGCCCAUCAAGCUGCAUUCAUGCUCUGAUGUGGGCUUCUGGAGCACUGCCCUGGAACACCGACAGGAAAUCAGGGGCUUCCUGCCGAAGUAGCACCGCGGAGCACACUCGGAGUAACGGUUUAGAUUGCCCAGCUUGCAGUAUCUGCUGCCUGCUGUUGUCUCCAGACACACUUCCCCAUGUCUGUGAGACCAGUAGAGGACAAAUGCCCGUGCUAUGCAGCCAUCCCCAAAGGAAGGCCAUGCACAGACAGCUCCUUCUGACAUGCCGUGAACUCAGAGAGAGGUCUCCAGUGGACAGUGGAUCCAGGACUCUGCUGUUUGGGACAAAGUGAGCUCCAACCUGCCCGGCCAUCUUGGACCACUGACACAUCUGUGUGGGUCAAGCAUUUCAAGAAUCUUGGCAGAGGCCACCCCCACCCCCGGUGUCCCCCAUCCUCAGUGGCAUACAGGUAGCACUUUCUGGGUGCAUGGCUCUGCCCUCAAAGUCCUCCUGUAGUUUUGUUAUGUUUCCCCUGUCUGUAGACAGUAGGACAAAGACCAAGGACUUAGGGUCUUUGUCCAAGCUGCAGUGCUUCUAAGCUCUGACCCCAUUCCUGUCCCUGAACACGCCUUUUGUAUGUGAACAGGCCAGAGUCCUCUAUCCCUGUCGCUCACUACCCAGGAGAAUGACUUAGAACAGACCUUCCCGGAGGCUGGGGAUGAAUCUGAUUGGCAGCUGUCAAUCAAGGUUCUGCUUGCAACUUAUUUUCAAGAAUUGCGCCCCCUCCCCCUACAUGCUGCCUGGACCCACUCACUUCACACAUGUGACCCAGAGAGCCUUUGAGAUUUGGAGACUGGACUAUCUCAGAGAAAUGAGCCAGCUCUGAGGAAGAAGGGCUGGGCUGAGUGACACAGAUCCCCCACACUGUCCCACCUGAUGAUGUUCAGGAAGGAGCUGUGGAGGAUGGAAAGCCCACUGUGGGGCCUCAGCUCCCACAAUGCUGUGUGCAAUGUCUGCUAAGACAUUAGCACCCUGCAGCACCCUGGCGGAUCUCUAAGACACUCUGCUGUUCCCAUGGUCUCCCCGAGGCUCACACUGAGGCUCCAGGUAGAUGCUCUGGUCGGUCGGUCACCAUGUUCAUAGCUACUUUCCAUAUGACACACAAUGCAGUGUUGCAGACAUGGCUGGAUGAAACACCAAUUGAUUUAUAUAUUAAAGUGAAAGACUUGGAGAAAA
Molecule: non-coding RNA, 1708 nt
Organism: Rattus norvegicus (Norway rat)
Lineage: Eukaryota; Metazoa; Chordata; Mammalia; Rodentia; Muridae
Source: RefSeq, a predicted model, not a curated record